RNAcentral lists this unclassified non-coding RNA (248 nucleotides) under Colletotrichum pyrifoliae. RNAcentral's name for it is "partial contains 5.8S ribosomal RNA, internal transcribed spacer 2, and large subunit ribosomal RNA". The record is from RNAcentral. Lineage: Eukaryota; Fungi; Ascomycota; Sordariomycetes; Glomerellales; Glomerellaceae.
CGCACAUUGCGCCCGCCAGCAUUCUGGCGGGCAUGCCUGUUCGAGCGUCAUUUCAACCCUCAAGCACUGCUUGGCGUUGGGGCUCUACGGUCGACGUAGGCCCCUAAAGCUAGUGGCGGACCCUCCCGGAGCCUCCUUUGCGCAGUAACUUUCGUCUCGCACUGGGAUCCGGAGGGACUCUAGCCGUUAAACCCCCCAACUUUCCAAAGGUUGACCUCGGAUCAGGUAGGAAUACCCGCUGAACUUAA